Molecule: non-coding RNA, 80 nt
Organism: Podarcis lilfordi (Lilford's wall lizard)
Lineage: Eukaryota; Metazoa; Chordata; Lepidosauria; Squamata; Lacertidae
Source: the annotation of a GenBank genome assembly
GCUCCCUCUUGGUAACUCAGUUGGUAGAGCAUGAGACUCCUAAUCUUAGGGUUGUGGGUUCAAGCCCCAUGUUCAGAGCC